UACGUAGGGGGCAAGCGUUGUCCGGAAUCAUUGGGCGUAAAGCGCGUGUAGGCGGUCUAGUAAGUCCGUUGUGAAAGCCCGGGGCUCAACCCCGGGAGGCGGAUGGAUACUGCUGGGCUCGAGUCCGGAAGAGGCAAGUGGAAUUCCCGGUGUAGCGGUGAAAUGCGCAGAUAUCAGGAGGAACACCGAUUGCGAAGGCAGCUCGCUGGGACGUUACUGACGCUGAGACGCGAAAGCGUGGGGAGCAAACAGG
Molecule: ribosomal RNA, 253 nt
Filed under: uncultured bacterium
Lineage: Bacteria
Description: partial 16S ribosomal RNA
Rfam family: Bacterial small subunit ribosomal RNA
Source: RNAcentral